GGUGUUGGUGCUACCCCACGCCGGGGCUCGGAGCCAGCAAAGGGAGGGAGUGGACAAAGCAAACAGCUCAUUCCAGGCCCCAGCAAGGACCCCGGCUCGUUUCACUGUGAUAUACACUAAGACUCAACUCACACCCAGGGUCUGAAAUCUCUUUAUUUCCCUCUCUGCACACUUGGAAUGAGACGGGCCCAGCCCCGACCUGGCAGAGUCUUUUACUGACCUUGUUGAUGUGUCAGCGGCGAUGGCAGUCGGCUUGCUUCAGAGGGACCAUCAAAACAAAACAAUUCAGUGCAAUUAAUUCCUUCUCCCAGGGGAAGGGCUGGAUGAGGUUAAGUGAUUUGCCCCAGGAUCCUUCAGCAGAGCAGGUAGAAACCAGGCAGCAUCGGGAGUUUCACAUCUCUGCUAUCUCCCAGGGCCGUUCCAUGUCCACCCACAGCGACCAGCAUCGUCCCUCCAGGCUCAGUCUCUCUGUCCUGGUGUCCAGCCCUGUUGUGCUCCCCCUGAACAUCACCCCAAGCCCAUUCUGAGCACAGCCCCACAGACCUCAGCAGUUUGUUCUUCUGGAGUUUAAGAUGGUCUAAAUGGAGCUACACCAAGGACUCUGUAGCGCUGGGGUGUGUGGCCAGGAGAUAUGGCCAGUGCCAGACCCUCACAGAAUCUUCUAGGUUGGAAGGGACCUUAAAGAUCAUCUUGUCCAACUGUCAACCUAACUGACAAAAAUAGACACCCACACAACAAACAAGGAGCAUCAUCACUAAACCAGACCUCCCAGCACUACAUCAACCCUCGUGUGUGAGGAAGGAUUUUCCACCUCCCCCUGGCUUCCCCGAGCACUGACCUGUUCCCAGCGCCACACCAUGCAGGGGGGAGGCAGGUCCCUGCGCCAGCCCCAGCUGGAGAUGUGUCCCCAUCCCUCCUCUCCUGCCCCAGGUAAGGACAGCGGGAUUACUGGAGCCCAGCAAAGGGCUGGUGGGGGCUAUAAAUCACAGCCCAAGCUUGCGGUGACAGGGACAGCGCCACGUGUGGGAUGAAGGCUCACAGGGAGCACCAGACGUGGUCACCAACAGGACACAAGAAAGAAAAGGAAACGUGGUCGGGACAAGAAGCCAAGAUCUCGCAGUUCCACCAAGGGCUUAGAAAUAAUCUUCUUGAUAAAUUUAUUUGGAUUGCAGCAGCGCGUACGCUGCGGGCAGCUCUCUAAACACGGGGACAGAAACUCCUCCACCUUCUCUAAACCUCGCAGCCUGCGGCGGCACAGCGGUGCCAGGGGAAUGACGUCCCAACACCCCGAUGUGCCCACAGCGGGAGGGAGAACUGAGCAUAAACCUCCUGAGUCACGGCUUGGGAGCUCGCAGGAGCGGCCGCGGUCCUCCUGGCAGCCACAUUUGCCCUGCAGACGGGGAGAACAACAAUCCUGCGGGGCAGAACCAGAGCCAAGGUUUCCCAAAUCUUCCCAUUCCGGAGCCGGUUAUCUGCGGCACACGCUCUACCUGCUCAGGCUGAAAUUCUGGUAUUUCUGAACACAGGGUAUUUGAUUUUGCAAUUUUAAUAAUCGCCUCUUCAGCCCAGUGGUUUUUCUGUGUAACAAUCACUAGAAAACACUCUUCAGCCUCCUACUAAGUUACGAUAAAAGCUAUUUAGAGACAAAA
Calidris pugnax (ruff) is the source of this 1649-nucleotide long non-coding RNA. RefSeq lists it as uncharacterized. The record is from RefSeq and is a predicted model, not a curated record. The transcript is spliced from 3 exons. NCBI's taxonomy places the organism in Eukaryota, Metazoa, Chordata, Aves, Charadriiformes, Scolopacidae.